Molecule: ribosomal RNA, 464 nt
Filed under: Vreelandella stevensii
Lineage: Bacteria; Pseudomonadati; Pseudomonadota; Gammaproteobacteria; Oceanospirillales; Halomonadaceae
Description: partial 16S ribosomal RNA
Rfam family: Bacterial small subunit ribosomal RNA
Source: RNAcentral
CCUACGGGUGGCUGCAGUGGGGAAUAUUGGACAAUGGGGGGAACCCUGAUCCAGCCAUGCCGCGUGUGUGAAGAAGGCCCUCGGGUUGUAAAGCACUUUCAGUGAGGAAGAACGCCUGGUGGUUAAUACCCAUCAGGAAAGACAUCACUCACAGAAGAAGCACCGGCUAACUCCGUGCCAGCAGCCGCGGUAAUACGGAGGGUGCGAGCGUUAAUCGGAAUUACUGGGCGUAAAGCGCGCGUAGGUGGCUUGAUAAGCCGGUUGUGAAAGCCCCGGGCUCAACCUGGGAACGGCAUCCGGAACUGUCAAGCUAGAGUGCAGGAGAGGAAGGUAGAAUUCCCGAUGUAGCGGUGAAAUGCGUAGAGAUCGGGAGGAAUACCAGUGGCGAAGGCGGCCUUCUGGACUGACACUGACACUGAGGUGCGAAAGCGUGGGUAGCAAACAGGAUUAGUACCCCGGUAGUC